Molecule: transfer RNA, 73 nt
Filed under: Rufibacter tibetensis
Lineage: Bacteria; Pseudomonadati; Bacteroidota; Cytophagia; Cytophagales; Hymenobacteraceae
Description: Flexibacteraceae bacterium 1351 tRNA
Rfam family: tRNA
About the family: Transfer RNA (tRNA) molecules are approximately 80 nucleotides in length. Their secondary structure includes four short double-helical elements and three loops (D, anti-codon, and T loops). Further hydrogen bonds mediate the characteristic L-shaped molecular structure. tRNAs have two regions of fundamental functional importance: the anti-codon, which is responsible for specific mRNA codon recognition, and the 3' end, to which the tRNAs corresponding amino acid is attached (by aminoacyl-tRNA synthetases). tRNAs cope with the degeneracy of the genetic code in two manners: having more than one tRNA (with a specific anti-codon) for a particular amino acid; and 'wobble' base-pairing, i.e. permitting non-standard base-pairing at the 3rd anti-codon position.
Source: Rfam by way of RNAcentral
GCGAGAGUAGCUCAGUUGGUAGAGCAUCAGCUUCCCAAGUUGAGGACCGCGGGUUCGAAUCCCGUUUCUCGCU